ACCCGCUGAGUUUAAGCAU
RNAcentral lists this small nuclear RNA (19 nucleotides) under Arabidopsis thaliana (thale cress). Its description in RNAcentral is "snRNA_03537". The record is from RNAcentral. Lineage: Eukaryota; Viridiplantae; Streptophyta; Magnoliopsida; Brassicales; Brassicaceae.